GAUGAAGAACGUAGCGAAAUGCGAUACGUAGUGUGAAUUGCAGAAUUCAGUGAAUCAUCGAAUCUUUGAACGCACAUUGCACCUCUCGGUAUUCCGGGAGGUAUGCCUGUUCGAGCGUCAUUUGUACCCUCAAGCUCUGCUUGGUGUUGGGUGUUUGUUCCGCCUCUGUGUGUGAACUCGCCCCAAAACAAUUGGCAGCCGGCGUACUUGUUUCGGAGCGCAGCACAUUUUGCGAUCCAGAUCAACGUACAGCGGCAUCCAAGAAGCCUUAUUUAACGCUCUUGACCUCGGAUCAGGUAGGGAUACCCGCUGAACUUAAGCAUAUCAAUAAGCGGAGGA
This 339-nucleotide unclassified non-coding RNA is filed under the name soil metagenome. RNAcentral describes it as "partial contains 5.8S ribosomal RNA, internal transcribed spacer 2, and large subunit ribosomal RNA". The stretch from base 1 to 120 matches the Rfam family "5.8S ribosomal RNA", at positions 35 to 154 of the family's 154-position model. The record is from RNAcentral.